RNAcentral lists this ribosomal RNA (875 nucleotides) under Helotiales sp. RNAcentral's name for it is "SSU rRNA". It matches the Rfam family "Eukaryotic small subunit ribosomal RNA", at positions 59 to 947 of the family's 1831-position model. The record is from RNAcentral. Lineage: Eukaryota; Fungi; Ascomycota; Leotiomycetes; Helotiales.
UCUAGUAUAGCAUCUAUACGGUGAACUGCGAAUGGCUCAUUAAAUCAGUUAUCGUUUAUUUGAUAGUACCUUACUACUUGGAUAACCGUGGUAAUUCUAGAGCUAAUACAUGCUAAAAACCCCGACUUCGGAAGGGGUGUAUUUAUUAGAUAAAAAACCAAUGCCCUUCGGGGCUCCUUGGUGAUUCAUAAUAACUUAACGAAUCGCAUGGCCUUGUGCCGGCGAUGGUUCAUUCAAAUUUCUGCCCUAUCAACUUUCGAUGGUAGGAUAGUGGCCUACCAUGGUUUCAACGGGUAACGGGGAAUUAGGGUUCUAUUCCGGAGAGGGAGCCUGAGAAACGGCUACCACAUCCAAGGAAGGCAGCAGGCGCGCAAAUUACCCAAUCCCGACACGGGGAGGUAGUGACAAUAAAUACUGAUACAGGGCUCUUUUGGGUCUUGUAAUUGGAAUGAGUACAAUUUAAAUCCCUUAACGAGGAACAAUUGGAGGGCAAGUCUGGUGCCAGCAGCCGCGGUAAUUCCAGCUCCAAUAGCGUAUAUUAAAGUUGUUGCAGUUAAAAAGCUCGUAGUUGAACCUUGGGCCUGGCUGGCCGGUCCGCCUCACCGCGUGCACUGGUCCGGCCGGGCCUUUCCUUCUGGGGAGCCGCAUGCCCUUCACUGGGUGUGUCGGGGAACCAGGACUUUUACUUUGAAAAAAUUAGAGUGUUCAAAGCAGGCCUAUGCUCGAAUACAUUAGCAUGGAAUAAUAGAAUAGGACGUGUGGUUCUAUUUUGUUGGUUUCUAGGACCGCCGUAAUGAUUAAUAGGAUAGUCGGGGGCAUCAGUAUUCAAUUGUCAGAGGUGAAAUUCUUGGAUUUAUUGAAGACUAACUACUGCG